Molecule: ribosomal RNA, 484 nt
Filed under: uncultured bacterium
Lineage: Bacteria
Description: partial 16S ribosomal RNA
Rfam family: Bacterial small subunit ribosomal RNA
Source: RNAcentral
AUUGAACGCUGGCGGCAUGCUUUACACAUGCCAGUCGAACGGCAGCGCGGGCUUCGGCCUGGCGGCGAGUGGCGAACGGGUGGGUAAUGCAUCGGAACGUGCCCAGUAGUGGGGGAUAGCCCGGCGAAAGCCGGAUUAAUACCGCAUACGACCUGAGGGUGAAAGCGGGGGACCGAAAGGCCUCGCGCUAUUGGAGCGGCCGAUGUCGGAUUAGCUAGUUGGUGGGGUAAAGGCUUACCAAGGCGACGAUCCGUAGCUGGUCUGAGAGGACGACCAGCCACGCUGGGACUGAGACACGGCCCAGACUCCUGCGGGAGGCAGCAGUGGGGAAUUUUGGACAAUGGGGGCAACCCUGAUCCAGCCAUGCCGCGUGCGGGAAGAAGGCCUUCGGGUUGUAAACCGCUUUUGUUCGGGAAGAAAUCCUCUGGGCUAAUACCCCGGGGGGAUGACGGUACCGGAAGAAUAAGCACCGGCUAACUACGUG